GACUCAGUAGCUCAACUGGUAGAGCGCCCGCCCGUUAAGCGGGGUGUUGCAGGUUCAAGUCCUGCCCGCGUCGCCA
RNAcentral lists this transfer RNA (76 nucleotides) under Xanthomonas translucens. RNAcentral's name for it is "tRNA-Asn". It matches the Rfam family "tRNA". Rfam says of the family: Transfer RNA (tRNA) molecules are approximately 80 nucleotides in length. Their secondary structure includes four short double-helical elements and three loops (D, anti-codon, and T loops). Further hydrogen bonds mediate the characteristic L-shaped molecular structure. tRNAs have two regions of fundamental functional importance: the anti-codon, which is responsible for specific mRNA codon recognition, and the 3' end, to which the tRNAs corresponding amino acid is attached (by aminoacyl-tRNA synthetases). tRNAs cope with the degeneracy of the genetic code in two manners: having more than one tRNA (with a specific anti-codon) for a particular amino acid; and 'wobble' base-pairing, i.e. permitting non-standard base-pairing at the 3rd anti-codon position. The record is from RNAcentral. RNAcentral also lists the same sequence under 1 other name. Lineage: Bacteria; Pseudomonadati; Pseudomonadota; Gammaproteobacteria; Lysobacterales; Lysobacteraceae.